RNAcentral lists this non-coding RNA (305 nucleotides) under Glycine soja. Its description in RNAcentral is "Bacterial small subunit ribosomal RNA". It matches the Rfam family "Bacterial small subunit ribosomal RNA", at positions 548 to 848 of the family's 1533-position model. Lineage: Eukaryota; Viridiplantae; Streptophyta; Magnoliopsida; Fabales; Fabaceae. The record is from Rfam by way of RNAcentral.
GAAUGAUUGGGCGUAAAGCGUCUGUGUGUGGCAUUUUAAGUUUGUUGUCAAAUCUCAGGGCUUAACCUUGGAUAGGCAGUGGAAACUACCAAGCUGGAGUACGGUAGGAGCAGAGGGAAUUUCCGGUGUGGAGUAGGGAAAUGCGUAGAGAUCGAACAGAACAUCAACGGCAAAAGCACUCUGCUGGACUGACACUGACACAGAGAGACGAAAGCUAGGGGAGCGAAUGGGAUUAGAUACCCCAUUUGUCUUAGCCGUAAACAAUGGAUACGACCGUGCAAUGCUGUAGCUAACUGUAACUCACA